Ornithodoros turicata is the source of this 673-nucleotide long non-coding RNA. RefSeq lists it as uncharacterized. The transcript has 4 exons. Lineage: Eukaryota; Metazoa; Arthropoda; Arachnida; Ixodida; Argasidae. The record is from RefSeq and is a predicted model, not a curated record.
GUGCUGCUCACACACAAAAAAGAAGCCUAACUGCCAUUGCUUUUCAAAUUUUGCAGAGCUCUUGGCUUGUAGCUCUGAAGAACAAGUUUAAAAAUGAAAGGAGGAAACUGCAAAACAACCAUGAAGUGCAAAAGCAGCGGGAAAAGUUCGGGAGCCAUCGGCGCCGAGUUAGUAGCGAACGUGCCAACUCCGAGCUACAGCGAACCAGGCGACAGAAUAUUCCACUCGGGACAGAUCAUGAGGAUGAUGCAAGCCUUCAAGCGCACGAAGAAUGGCUGAAGACUGAGCACAAGAAGAGGAGCCCCAAUGAAGAGCAAAUCAAGAUACGCAUGGCAGCAACUUACAAAGGAAGGUGCGCAAAGCUGGCGGUAAUGCCUGUGCAAGCGUCAUUAGAAACAUACCCCUACAUAAUGAUUGCAGAGCGGUUUUUCAGAGACUUCGAAUGUCUCACGCAGCGGCUGGCUCUCUCUGCGGUCCAAGAUGGCAUUCAAGAGGUGGUCAAUCUUACACUCAAAGGCACAAUUUCCACCAGCAGUUCACUUCUUCAGAUUGUGCAACAAAUCCCCCACUUGGAUGAUGUCUGCUCAGCACGAAAAAAGCACCUUUUUGCUGUUGCUGCAGUGCGCAUCAUGUGCCGUUGCCUACGUGAGCCGGAUGGCAUCUCGCAGCUUUU